Parus major (Great Tit) is the source of this 1810-nucleotide long non-coding RNA. RefSeq lists it as uncharacterized. NCBI's taxonomy places the organism in Eukaryota, Metazoa, Chordata, Aves, Passeriformes, Paridae. The transcript has 3 exons. The record is from RefSeq and is a predicted model, not a curated record.
UCUGGCUGCCAUGUGGGACUCAGAGGAUAUGUCUUGUAGAAUCAGAGAAAGCCCAAGAGGGAAAUUCUUUCUUCUGCCUGACUCUGAUCAUAGCAGGCAUCAAAAAUCACCUGUCUGUGCAGGGUCCUUGGAAGACACACUCCUGCUCUCAAACAUUGCUGCAGAGCCUGCCUGGAAGCUCAGGCAAUGAAGGCUCCUCAAAGAUUCAGGCACUCCUGAAGGAGUUGAUCGGGUUAAAUCAGAACAGUUGGAAGAAGAGUGUCCACAAAGAGAGGGAUCAAGACCAGACCUCAAAUUCACACCCUCUCUUAAUCAGAAUGAAUUGGCAAGCAUGGACAAUUGUCCUGUUCCACAGAGGAAAAAAACAGGAGUAUAUAGAUGAGAAUCUGAUACAAAGGUAGGGGCCUCCCAAGCACUACUCUUUCUUCUAAGCAUGUAACAGCUGGAUGAAUAUUAGUUUCUCCUGUCAGCUGCUUGUCUUAUGCAAUGUACUUUGUUCUUUCACAUUUAUGGUGAAUGUUUUCCCCCUUGUGCAAGCAUCAGCUUUCUCUUUAUCAUUCUUUCACCAGUCCUGCUUCUUCAGACAACUGAAUGUGUACAAACAGCCACUUCCUUAUGAUAUAACGCUUCCAAUUUUCACAUAAUCACCUUGCCGUCAAUUACCUGCAUCAAAUCAGUCCAUUCAAGCAAAUGAGAACUCAUUGCAGUUAUGUCAGUCAGGUUGUUUUCAAGAAUCCAAGGGACCUCUGGAUCUCAGUGUACAAACUGUCACUUCCUCUGUCAGUCAAUCAAUGAAAAUCAGAACAAAAAUAAUGGUGACACUGAAUAAUUCAGUGAUACACUCUGACAAUAUCUGCUAAACUCCUGUCAACAUAGCCUACCUUGCUGUUUCUGGAGCUGGCCUUACAGUCACAUGGACUAUUAUUAGUCUGGUUUUUGGACAGUUAACACUUUUUGCAAGAACAGGACAGAAUAAAUUGGUAUUUUUAUCAUCAUGAUGUUACAACUAUAGGGAUAAAAUCCCAACCAAAACAGUUUUGUCACAGUUAUAGGCAAGGGGAUGUGAGGAUGAUCAGCUCUCCCAGGUCAGCCUUGUCUUUGCUGCUUGGGUUUGUGCCCAUCUCCUCCUCUGCCACACUCCCAAUACAAUGUGAGAGCACACUUAUGAAGCACCAGGGAGUUACAUAAUUUAUGACCCAAAUGAAAACAUCCAGGGAUGGCACAGAAGUGGGUGGUUGAAGACACUUUGCCAAAAGAUUCAGUCAGUCUUCAGACAAGAGAAGUAAACCAUAAAUCCGAGUGAAGUAAAGACACACAGCGGCUUUGGUGUUAAUAUAAGUGGAGCUACAACUGUGGCUCUUUAAUGUGAACAAAUGAAGCACUUCCUUGGCUGUUUUGGGUUUUGUAUGUAGAAUCUCUUUAGCUCAAGACAGAGAAGAACAAGAGGUGGUUGUUUCAUGUUUGAGCUUUCUACAAAUUGGAUAAAAGAUCUAACGUAGUAUAAAUAGUAAAAAGUGAGUAACCUGAGCUAACAGGCAAAAGACAAUGCUAAACAAAUUCAAAAAGUCAGUCUUAUCACAGUAUCUCAGCUCUAAAAUAAUUUAUGUACAACUGUAAUGGACAUGUAAUCAUGCAAAGCAUUUAAAUCAAGACUGAACAACUUAAAAAAUAAAAACUGCUGUAGAUUCAACAGUUAAAAAUACUAUAUUGAAAAAUUAAGAUGGGGUAUUGUCCUUCAAUUACAAUGCAAGAUUUAACCAAAAGUAUGUAUUCUAUUACCAGCUGUUAAAACCAGCUGGGCAGUAUUCUU